Molecule: long non-coding RNA, 1812 nt
Organism: Cottoperca gobio
Lineage: Eukaryota; Metazoa; Chordata; Actinopteri; Perciformes; Bovichtidae
Source: Ensembl
AUGAGCGAGCGAGGUGAGCCCUUCGGUGAGGGGGAGUUGAGAAAUAACAACCAGCAGGCUGACUUGCUGGCAGACGGAGAUACCAACGCCAAUGAUAUCCGGACAGAGGAUGGCGGGAUGACGGGUGAUACUGUCACUCUGUCUGGACUGCUGACUGAAACAGCACAGCAGGACAAAGUCAUCAUCUGGGGUACAGACUCCCAGUGUGAUGACCCCGACCUGGCUGAGUUUGAGAUGCUGGAGUGUCAGGAGCUGGAGGCCUACGUGGUUGAGGAUGGAGAGGACUUUCUCGGGCUUGCAGAACGGAAGAAGCUUAAAGAACAGCCUUCGUCAUGCGGCAAAGCUACAGUAGACCAGGCAACGGAUAAUAAGAGCAGGGAAGACAAAAAGACUAUUCUGCAUGGCGCCAGUGAGCAGGAAACCAGCACUUCUCAUGUCUCCGAGAGCAGAGAAGCAUCCAGGGCUGAGUUAAGCUCAGAAACUGAUGUCUUUGUGUCCUGUCUGUCCACCAUUUCAAGCAUGGACACUGCUAUGGACACUACUGGCAGGACCCAGACAACAGACUCAUGGCACAAUGCCUCUGGUCCUUACUCAACCAUCUCAGAAGACUUGACUCUGGUUUCCCAGACUGACAACAACGUCCCUGAGAGAGACAAUGUCUCUCAAAGAGCUGAUCAUCCUUCCUCCUCCUCUGGAAAAAGCACAAUACACAGGGAAGAUGUGAACAUGAAUUUGAAUUCAACAGCUCACUCAGAGGAUGUGGGAUCACAGGCACAAGUGAGCAAUGGAGUUAUUCCGUGUGAGGAUGCCAUUGACGAGCACAGGAAGAACAAUAACCAGAGAAAUAAAGCAGUCAAUACCAUUUCAGAUGGAGAAUGUGAUCAAAUAAGGAGUACUGAGCACAAGGGUUUACCCACUGAAAGAAUAUCACAUGAAGAAAGCAACACUAAAAUGGAUAAAAGCACACAAGCUGAUGAUGCCCCUGUUGUGAACUACAGCCCACCCAAAACAGGUACAAAGGGGACUUUUUCAUCAAUUGAAUCCAAAGCCAUGAAGAAACAAGGAUCAUUUGAUAACUCGUUGAAAAAACAAUACUCUCCUGACAAGACUUUCAAAAAGCAGCCAUCGUUUGAAAAUACUUUAAAGAAGCAGCCCUCCUUUGAUAACACCUUAAAUAAGCAGGGUUCUUUUGAGAACACCAUCCCCUGCAGCUCUUCAAGUCUGGAGAGGAGGAAGCCAUGGGGAAGCCCGAGUCGACCAGCAACUCCUACUUCACCUAAAACAACCUGUUCCCCCAAGAGAAGGCCGCCUGGUUCUCCAGCCAAAGUCCAGAAUAUCAGAUCUCUGAGCUUUGAGCGCAGCGACCCCCCUCAGAGAAGUCAAACAGUCAGAACACCAGGUAAGACAAGUUUGAGCAGUUGCAUCCCCAUACCUGUCUCGUCUCAGCAGAAAGAACCUGAACCCGGGAGGUCAUCUCCUCCCCAGAAACCUAAAAAUGUCCGACCAAAAAUCAUCACCUAUGUUCGAAAAAAUCCUCAAGCAAAACCACAAGGGACAGAUGCCCCACUCGAAGCCUCUACACUCCCACUAAGACUAUCUUCUUACUCCAGCCCACCAGCUCAUAAAGAUCCAAGGGUUGGUCCUCAACCUAAAUCCACGGUGCUAUGUUCCUCCAACUUGCUGUUUGACAAAUAUCGACAGGAGAUGCAGAAGGCGGGGGUACUAUCCUCCAGGCAUGUCUGCGACUGGGGUAAAACCUCCAAGCAGCACCAUCCCUCAAAGGCUGGGUGGGAAGUCAGGCAGUUUUCAUGA